Molecule: long non-coding RNA, 428 nt
Filed under: Lupinus angustifolius (narrow-leaved blue lupine)
Lineage: Eukaryota; Viridiplantae; Streptophyta; Magnoliopsida; Fabales; Fabaceae
Description: long non-coding RNA (LANG_LNC001040)
Source: RNAcentral
CCAUCAAUAUCAUUUCAAGAUGUCCUGGUUUGGGUGGAAGUUGCACAUACCAAAUUUCAGUAAUUCUAACACCAAUCUUCCACAGGUGUUUUGAAUCAUUCAAAUCUUUUAUAAGCUCGAACGGGCGUGAUAUUGACAUUAAUACAAUACAAACUAAAUAAUAAUAAUAAUAAAAAGGAUAAACAACAUUUCAGUAAAACAUAUAGGAGCAUAAGUUAUAGAAACAAUGAUAUUGUAGUAAUGUAAAAAAUGUUAAGGUCAUUUUUUCAGAGGUGAGCAUAUAAGUAUGCUACCACAUAUUAUACAGACCUUGUUAUUAUAGAAGACUUGUCUCUCUGCAUAAGACUCAACUUUAUCUAUCACUAAGAUAUUCAAGAGUGUGAUAAUCAAACAGGAAACAUAUAAAAUUACAAUAUGAAAGAAAUAAC